RNAcentral lists this ribosomal RNA (348 nucleotides) under Patella rustica. RNAcentral's name for it is "partial 16S ribosomal RNA". The stretch from base 1 to 196 matches the Rfam family "Archaeal large subunit ribosomal RNA", at positions 1908 to 2143 of the family's 2987-position model. The record is from RNAcentral. Lineage: Eukaryota; Metazoa; Mollusca; Gastropoda; Patellidae.
GGCUCUUUGUAAUAUAAAAAUAAAGAGUCCGGCCUGCUCAAUGAUGAUUUAUCAUUAAAUAGCUGCGGAAUCCUAACCGUGUGAGAGUAGCAUAAUCAUUUGCCUCUUAAUUGGUGGCUGGAAUGAAUGGUACGAUGAAAAUAGAGCUGUCUCUAAUAUGUUUUAUUGAAAUUACCUUUUAGGUGAAAAGGCCUAAAUAUAUCUAUAAGACAAGAAGACCCUAUCGAGCUUUAAGUAGGCUAUAUAUAAUAUUUAGUUAGCUUUUGGUUGGGGCAACCAGGGGGCAGAUUAAAUCCCUCUUUUAUUAUGUCACUUACUAGUGAAGAUCCAGUUAUAUUGAUCAUGGGA